RNAcentral lists this long non-coding RNA (908 nucleotides) under Heterocephalus glaber (naked mole-rat). Its description in RNAcentral is "lncRNA (ENSHGLG00100037133.1)". Lineage: Eukaryota; Metazoa; Chordata; Mammalia; Rodentia; Bathyergidae. The record is from RNAcentral.
UCAAACAGCUAAACUCAGUGGCCCCUGCCAUGGUUUCGCGUUGGCUGCGUCCUUUGCACUUUGUUCCAGUUCAGGGAAAUGCGGACUGCAGAGCUCCCCUUCUGUGCUCCAAGCUCACUAACAGCCCAUCUACACCACUCCAAGUUUAUUACAUUCGAGUGAUAAUGAUGCAGGGCUGCAUCUCACCCAGCACCUGAGAAAAGGGCAACUUCGUUUAACUCUUUUGGUCAUUUAUCCUACUUUUUAAAGCCUUCAUGGCCCUACCGAGGUCCUGAGUCACGCGGAAGACGCCGAAUCAGCGCGCUGCAGACAGGCAGGUCUGUGCACGCACUACCGAGGUCCUGAGGCACGAGGAAGACGCCGAAUCACCCCGCUGCAGACAGGCAGCCACCUGAUUCCACAAUAAAAAGACGCAGAGGACACCAGACCACCAGACCUAGGAAUCGAACUUAGGAUCUUGUGCUUGCCAGGCAGCCAUGGCACCACUGAGCUACAUCCCAGGCCCUUGAAAUGCCCAUUUUUGGAUUGAAGACCGUGGUUUUCAUUCUGCAUCUACCUUUUGUCCCUAAGCUAAGUUUAAUGACACUGUGAUGGGUAAGUGAAGCAUGACAGAGGACACUGUAUUCAACCAGUCAUUUAUUUCAGUUCUUGUGUGAUCACUGUCUGUAAGACACUGAAGACACUGACCAUCUCCUUCUUAAGCAUCAUAAAAUAAUGACGGAAUGAGUGAGUGAACAAACUCUGCAACUCUGAAUCCCUUUCAGUGACUAGAAUUAUAUCUGAAAGAGAAAAGGUUUUCAGUUUCUAGUUUAAUACAUUAACUUGGUUGGCUAUGGUCCUGAUAUUUUAUUAUAGGCUUUUGUAGUAAGAAUUAGUUCUAUAGCUUGUUAGAAAAUAGAAUGUUUGGG